This 484-nucleotide ribosomal RNA is filed under the name uncultured bacterium. RNAcentral describes it as "partial 16S ribosomal RNA". It matches the Rfam family "Bacterial small subunit ribosomal RNA", at positions 28 to 507 of the family's 1533-position model. The record is from RNAcentral.
AUUGAACGCUGGCGGCAUGCUUUACACAUGCAAGUCGAACGGCAGCGCGGGCUUCGGCCUGGCGGCGAGUGGCGAACGGGUGAGUAAUGCAUCGGAACGUGCCCAGUCGUGGGGGAUAGCCCGGCGAAAGCCGGAUUAAUACCGCAUACGACCUGAGGGUGAAAGCGGGGGACCGAAAGGCCUCGCGCUAUUGGAGCGGCCGAUGUCGGAUUAGCUAGUUGGUGGGGUAAAGGCUUACCAAGGCGACGAUCCGUAGCUGGUCUGAGAGGACGACCAGCCACACUGGGACUGAGACACGGCCCAGACUCCUACGGGAGGCAGCAGUGGGGAAUUUUGGACAAUGGGGGCAACCCUGAUCCAGCCAGGCCGCGUGCGGGAAGAAGGCCUUCGGGUUGUAAACCGCUUUUGUUCGGGAAGAAAUCCUCUGGGCUAAUACCCCGGGGGGAUGACGGUACCGGAAGAAUAAGCACCGGCUAACUACGUG